This is a long non-coding RNA of Condylura cristata (star-nosed mole), 1166 nucleotides long. RefSeq lists it as uncharacterized. The record is from RefSeq and is a predicted model, not a curated record. NCBI's taxonomy places the organism in Eukaryota, Metazoa, Chordata, Mammalia, Eulipotyphla, Talpidae. The transcript is spliced from 3 exons.
UGGAGCGUCCAACCGCCCGGCGCGCCGCGUGACGAGGCCACAGGGCGUGCGCGGGCCGCCUGCACCGUCCCCCGCGCAGGCAGGAAGUAGUGCGCUCAGGGUUUAGGCUCUGCGGGUGGAUCCAGGUGCCGACUUGGCGGACACGGAGCUGGAGUCGCUGAUUCCCAGGUGAGAUGGGUGUCUGGAGCACAGACUACUGAGAACUGAGUACCAGCCGAGGCACAAAGGUGAAUAAGGCUGUCCUGGAUGAGAACAUUGGACUUGACCAUCACAGCUUACAUGGAUCAUUAUAAUCUUUGAGACUGGGGAGUACUAAAAUUUAUGCUGUAAAUAACAUGUUUUGAAACAGUUUUAAUGUGCUUCUUGAAAAUUUGUGUAGUGAUUAAGUGCCAGGAAGUAGCAUUUAAAAUUAUAUAAAUCUUAAAGACUGGUGUUUAGUGCUGUCGAUUCUAAUGGCCUUUUCAAAUGACAGGCUUACUCCAGGCCCAAGGAGGGCUUUCUUCCAAUGCCUCAUAUUUGGUGAACUAGUUUAGGUUAUGUUCAGGUAUUCAAAAAAGUUGACUGGAAGAACUGCCCUGGAAGCUGAGAGCACAAUGGUAAGCAAAACAGACCUUCCCUUUGGAACUUAACAGUUACAUGAAGGAAACAUUACCCUUAAUGUUCUAUUGAUGCACAAGGCUAGUCUCCUGUGAUAGGGUUUGAGUCAAGGAUAGUUACUUUUUGGCAAGACCAUUGGGAAACUUGCCUCUGGAGAGAGGCCAUGGAUUAGUAAAGGUAUAUGACCAUUAGUUCAGACACAGGUGGAAAGUGUUUGAAGCUGAAUAAGAUAGUUGUUAGGGAGUCAGGAGUGUUAAGGCUAAUCACAUUGGAGGCCAGGCCACUUAAUUAACGCUGCUUGAAACAGAGAAAUGAAUGAUGGAGACUACCAUUUACAAGAAAUGGUGUGAAAUUUGGGCACGUUGGAGGUUGCUACAAUAAAAUGGCAAACUGAAGAUCUGGUGAAGCUUAUGGAACUUGAUCCUGGGUAGGUGUGUAUGCAUGCACAGAAGAGAAGCUCUAGUAAAUGGGUAGAAUAGAAUGAGCUGCAAAGAAUGGUAGAAAUAGGCAGCGUAAAAUUUAUCCUUGGGACUUAGUGACAUUGAGGUGAUGCGUGAGAUAUGAAUUAA